RNAcentral lists this transfer RNA (76 nucleotides) under Clostridium sp. JN-9. RNAcentral's name for it is "tRNA-Pro". It matches the Rfam family "tRNA". Rfam says of the family: Transfer RNA (tRNA) molecules are approximately 80 nucleotides in length. Their secondary structure includes four short double-helical elements and three loops (D, anti-codon, and T loops). The record is from RNAcentral. Lineage: Bacteria; Bacillati; Bacillota; Clostridia; Eubacteriales; Clostridiaceae.
CUGGGUGUAGCGCAGAUGGUAGCGUGCAUGAAUGGGGUUCAUGAGGUCGCAAGUUCAAGUCUUGUCACCCAGACCA